This 277-nucleotide ribosomal RNA is filed under the name unidentified archaeon. Its description in RNAcentral is "16S ribosomal RNA". It matches the Rfam family "Archaeal small subunit ribosomal RNA", at positions 1047 to 1325 of the family's 1478-position model. The record is from RNAcentral.
AACCCCUAUCCGUAAUUCCAAACUUUUCANAGAUGGAUAGAGGCUAGUUACAGAGACUGCCGCUGCUAAAGCGGAGGAAGGAAGGGGCCACGGCAGGUCAGUAUGCCCCGAAACUCCUGGGCCACACGCGGGCUGCAAUGGUAGGGACAAUAGGUUCCGACCUCGAAAGAGGAAGGCAAUCCCGAAACCCUACCUCAUUUGUGAAUCGAGGAUUGAAACCCGUCCUCGUGAAUAUGGAAUCCCUAGUAACCGCGUGUCAUCACCGCGCGGUGAAUAC